AACGAACGCUGGCGGCAUGCCUAACACAUGCAAGUCGAACGAAGGCUUCGGCCUUAGUGGCGCACGGGUGCGUAACGCGUGGGAAUCUGCCCCUCGGUUCGGAAUAACAGUUAGAAAUGACUGCUAAUACCGGAUGAUGACUUCGGUCCAAAGAUUUAUCGCCGAGGGAUGAGCCCGCGUAAGAUUAGGUAGUUGGUGGGGUAAAGGCCUACCAAGCCGACGAUCUUUAGCUGGUCUGAGAGGAUGAUCAGCCACACUGGGACUGAGACACGGCCAGGACUCCUACGGGAGGCAGCAGUGGGGAAUAUCGCACAAUGGGCGGAAGCCUGAUCCAGCAAUGCCGCGUGAGUGAUGAAGGCCUUAGGGUUGUAAAGCUCUUUUACCAGAGAUGAUAAUGACUGUACCUGCAGAGGAAGCAUCGGCUAACUACGUGCCAGCCGCCGCCGUAA
This 449-nucleotide ribosomal RNA is filed under the name uncultured bacterium. RNAcentral describes it as "partial 16S ribosomal RNA". It matches the Rfam family "Bacterial small subunit ribosomal RNA", at positions 29 to 523 of the family's 1533-position model. The record is from RNAcentral.